RNAcentral lists this ribosomal RNA (490 nucleotides) under uncultured bacterium. Its description in RNAcentral is "partial 16S ribosomal RNA". It matches the Rfam family "Bacterial small subunit ribosomal RNA", at positions 30 to 507 of the family's 1533-position model. The record is from RNAcentral.
AUUGAACGCUGGCGGCAGGCCUAACACAUGCAAGUCGAACGGUAACAGGAAACAGCUUGCUGUUUCGCUGACGAGUGGCGGACGGGUGAGUAAUGUCUGGGAAACUGCCUGAUGGAGGGGGAUAACUACUGGAAACGGUAGCUAAUACCGCAUAACGUCGCAAGACCAAAGAGGGGGACCUUCGGGCCUCUUGCCAUCGGCUGUGCCCAGAUGGGAUUAGCCAGUAGGUGGGGUAACGGCUCACCUAGGCGACGAUCCCUAGCUGGUCUGAGAGGAUGACCAGCCACACUGGAACUGAGACACGGUCCAGACUCCUACGGGAGGCAGCAGUAGGGAAUAUUGCACAAUGGGCGCAAGCCUGAUGGAGCCAUGCCGCGUGUAUGAAGAAGGCCUUCGGGUUGUAAAGUACUUUCAGCGGGGAUGAAGGGAGUAAAGUGAAUACCUUUGCGCAUUGACGUUACCCGCAGAAGAAGCACCGGCUAACUCCGUG